UGAGUGUUCAGUGCUGAGAUUCCUGUGUU
Molecule: non-coding RNA, 29 nt
Filed under: Mus musculus (house mouse)
Lineage: Eukaryota; Metazoa; Chordata; Mammalia; Rodentia; Muridae
Source: RNAcentral